Molecule: non-coding RNA, 117 nt
Filed under: Chlorocebus sabaeus (green monkey)
Lineage: Eukaryota; Metazoa; Chordata; Mammalia; Primates; Cercopithecidae
Source: Rfam by way of RNAcentral
GCUGGGCGUGGUGGCUCACGCCUGUAAUCCCAGCACUUUGGGAGGCUGAGGUGGGCGGAUUGCCUGAGGUCAGGAGUUCAAGACCAGCCUGGCCAACAUGGUGAAACCCCGUCUCUA